RNA transcript from Musa acuminata AAA Group (dessert banana), 2475 nucleotides. RefSeq lists it as uncharacterized. The record is from RefSeq and is a predicted model, not a curated record. The transcript is spliced from 11 exons. NCBI's taxonomy places the organism in Eukaryota, Viridiplantae, Streptophyta, Magnoliopsida, Zingiberales, Musaceae.
UAAAAAUAAAAAUAAUAAUGACAUAAACUAAAGCUUCAAUUAACUUACACUAUGAUGUAAAGUUUUUGAGAUAUAAACAUACAUAUGUUAAAUUUAUAUAAAAUUUAAAUUAAAGACCGAUGUCUUCAUUUGUGAUAAAUGUAUCUAUUUUUCUUCGAUUUAUCAUAUUUGAUCUAUAUAUAUCGGAACAUGUUCUCAUGUGUCGUAGUAAUCGACAUAUAAAUGUUAUAUACCGGAACAUGUUUCUAUAUACCGGAACGGCGCAUCUAACGUCGCACUCGCCUCUUUUUGGGCUCCAUCGCGGUCGUUUCUUCUUUGGUUUGCUGCCGUGCGAAGGAAGAGGAAGAGAUUCUGAUUCCAUGGGCACUCCAGUCUCUUCUGCUGCCUUCCCUUCCGAAUGCCGUGGAGAUUCGACGCUGCCUUCCCCUGCCUUUUACCGCGCCGUUUAUUCCCAGAUUGAAGAGGUUGGUUGGGAGCACCUGAUGGGAGCAGCGGAAGAUCUGUCAUGUCUCACCUUCCGACGCUUAGAUAAGAAGGGACGAGUGCACAUAUUAGAGAUAUCAUUACCUCGUAACUAUCCCGAAUCUUCGCCUACUAUUGCUGCGGAUGUACCUUGUAUCAAUGAGGUGGUGUGGUCCGAAAAGUCAAGAUUGAAAGAUGUUGUGCAACAAUUUGAUGAGCAUUUGCAGAAGUUGCAGGAAUUUUGGUCUACCAUGGAUGACAUUGAUAGAGAUCUCUGUGUUGUUUAUCCGAAGGAAUCAUCUCUUGCAACAUCAUAUUGUCAGAUUGGACUUGGCAAUGACUGCUAUCUUUUAUUACAUAUCAGUACUUCAAGCCCAAGGUCUUUACCAGAGUGUCGUUUCUUUGGUCCAGACUCAGCUGUAGUUUUAAUGAGGAAUAACUGGAAGAAGAAUGCUAUAAAAUGGAAAGUUGACAAACCAUUCCACGAGAAUCUGGCAGCACUUUUGGAGAGAGAACUACCUGGCCCUUCUGUGAGCAGUAAAGAUGAUGGGCAAGUUGAUUGCGGAAUUUGCUAUGCUCAGUACUUGCCAGUUGACGAUGAACUUGGAGCUAACAGCGGAAGUGCACCGGACUAUACCUGCAAAAAUCCUAGUUGCAGUAAAGCUUUUCAUACCGUAUGCCUCAGAGAUUGGCUGCAUUCCAUUACAACAACGAGGAAGUGUGUACAUUUCGGCCAGUCAUCGGCAUCGUUGUUUGUUAAUUUAUAUUUUAAGUUCAUGUUAUCCGAGUUGUCUUUAUGUGUUUCUGUGUCUCUUUUCUCAGGUCAUUUGAUGUUCUGUUUGGAGACUGCCCCUAUUGUUCUGAACCUGUCGCAGUUAAAGUUAAUAACUGACAUUAAUUCAGAGAUUAACAACUCAUUAUCUACCACAAGAAUGUGUCAGUUCUGGACUUGUGUAAGAGAGAGAGAGAGAUUUGUACAUCAAAUUAUCCUUUUUGUUGCUUCGAUCGUCGGAUUACAUUAUACUUGUGGUGAUUACAUUAUAUGCAUUUAUCCUUUGUGGAUUCUGUGCCGUAUGCAGCAGGGUUAGUCCUUUUGGUAAAUCGAAGAGUCAUACAAGUUCAUGAUCACGAGGAGGGCCCCAUCAAAUCAAUUGAUCAAGUGGUCCAGAAUGAAAUCAUGUUGACAGCUGCCACCACCAUUAAUCUGGUUUGAGAAGGUGCGUAACGGUCUGCUUUCACAACCAGCCUAGACUUCUCUGCCUUCUUUUGCCGCAAAAGUGUAAGCUUUGCGUGCGCCAUCAGCUAAAUAGACGCUGCCAGCCUUUUUAUUCUUCGCAGUGGCAGUUUCCAUUCCAAGCCAAAGCCUUUUGAUGAUUCGCUGAUGGCAAUGGCACCAGAGCUUAGAGAGCAGCAUCCAAGGAGCCAUCAAAAAGCUCUUAAACCAGGAAGAUUUUCGAAUGUGUUCUUAUGAACAACAUGCAUUGUUCAAAGGUCACAUUCUCUCUCCCGCAGUCUCCUCUGCUGUCAAGAGAAAAGAGCUUUGGCGUGUGGGAGGGGGGGACUGCUCAGCAGAGCUAUACUGCAAGCAAAACGCAAAACUUAGCAGCCAGCGUUGUGUGAUACUGGUCACAGUGGACACAGCAAAGUCAUAACUCACAGCUGUUAUCUGAGUGUCUGCUUGUGAGGAGAAUCCUCCCCCUUGACAUCUGACCACCCUAGACUUUGUGGGUUCAGCCUUCCUGCUAUUUUGAGUCAUCGGUAGGCAGUAGACAUGGUUGCUCUCUGAUGCAUCUGGGGUGAUUGAGGGCUCAUGGAUCAAUGUUGCUGAGGUUGGUUUGAAAUUUUGCGUCCCUUUAUUUCAGACUUGCUUUCUUUCUCUCUUUCUUGCAACCUCUGCACCAACUGUUGUGUGUGCUUUUGCUGCUGCUCUCCUCCCUCUGUUCUGUCCUUUCUCUCUGCCUGACUGAUUGCCUAGCAAAGCAAGAUUUUAUGGUUAUCAAUGCAUUCAAGACC